UACGGGGGGAGCAAGCGUUAUCCGGAAUCACUGGGCGUAAAGCGUCUGUAGGUGGUUUAAAAAGUCCACUGUUAAAAAUUGAAGCUUAACUUCAAAGAUGCCGUGGAAACUUUUAAACUUGAGUAUGGUAGGGGUAGAGGGAAUUUCCAGUGGAGCGGUGAAAUGCGUAGAUAUUGGAAAGACCACCAAUGGCGAAGGCACUCUACUGGGCCAUUACUGACACUGAGAGACGAAAGCUAGGGGAGCAAAUGGG
Molecule: ribosomal RNA, 253 nt
Filed under: uncultured bacterium
Lineage: Bacteria
Description: partial 16S ribosomal RNA
Rfam family: Bacterial small subunit ribosomal RNA
Source: RNAcentral